GUGAUCUCUUCCACAGACAUAUCAACUUUAUCAAGAAAUCUAUCCAACCAUGAGAGAACUUUUAAGGCAGUACUAUGCAUUGCAUCAAUCUGUUUCUUAUAAGAUUCCUUUGGUGAACACAGCAGAAUUAAUUCCUGGCACUUGGAGUAUAUCUUCACUGUACAUCUGUAGACUAGAUUACACCCUUCUUGUGCUACAGCAGUAGCUGCAAGACCCCCUUCAUUAGUUUCGUUUUCACCUGAUGAUGUAUCCCUCAAUCUUUUACGUCCAGGUAAAUCUGGCAGAGGUUCAAUGGAAUCGCU
RNAcentral lists this unclassified non-coding RNA (302 nucleotides) under Hevea brasiliensis (rubber tree). Lineage: Eukaryota; Viridiplantae; Streptophyta; Magnoliopsida; Malpighiales; Euphorbiaceae. The record is from RNAcentral.